RNAcentral lists this non-coding RNA (45 nucleotides) under Trichobilharzia regenti. The record is from RNAcentral. Lineage: Eukaryota; Metazoa; Platyhelminthes; Trematoda; Strigeidida; Schistosomatidae.
AUCCAGAUGACCAGUCCCAGAAAGGACGAAACACGAGUCUUAGAU